This is a long non-coding RNA of Chiroxiphia lanceolata (lance-tailed manakin), 856 nucleotides long. RefSeq lists it as uncharacterized. The record is from RefSeq and is a predicted model, not a curated record. The transcript has 3 exons. Lineage: Eukaryota; Metazoa; Chordata; Aves; Passeriformes; Pipridae.
CUUGGUGGAUACACUAAAUCUACUUGAAGAACCUUAUGCUCCUUGUGGGGACUCGGACACCUCCUUACCCAGCAGCCUCCAGGCAGCCUGAGCCAUCCUGGAUGAUGAUUAUGAUCUUCAAGAUUCCUUCCAACCCAAACCAUCUUUGUGAUCCUUGGGCAUACGGAACCAUCAGCUUUGUAAGAAGCAAAGAGGAACCACAGCAGGAUGCUGGAUGCCAACGGUUGUGUGCAUCCAGGAGCUCAGAGGAAUCAGCAAACCUCCUCCAGCAGAGCUACGAAUCCCCAGUCCAGUUCAUUCAGGCGCAGCGGGACCGCCGGGAAUUAAUCCGAGGGGGAAUGCUGUGAAUUCCUGCGCUCUCUUUCUUUGCUGGGCGCAGCUGGUGGCGGGGCCACUGCCAGAUGAAAGCAGGGCUGUCAGCUCCCAGCAGCCUGGCUCCAGCUGCAUUCCAGGGCACGGACUGGCCUCAGCUGGUCCUCGGGUGCCGCUUCCCUCUGCCAGGUUACCAAGCCCUGGGGUCUCGGGGUGCAGGUGAACACUGCUCACCUGUUUACUCCUCUGGAGAGGUGAGGAAUGAUCAGAACAUGCAACUCCUUCUGCACAGUGGAGGAAUUAUUUACUGCAGAUACAGACUGACAAUAAAUUAGUACACCCCCAAGAGUCUGGAAGGAACAGAGGAGGAGCAGUGAGUCACUCCUGAGUCAUAGAGCCUCCCCGGAUUUAUCCUGGGAUGAUGUACUGCACGCACCACUCCUUGAUCUGGUCUGUCUCGAAAGGACAACCCUGAAUAUAAUUGUGGAAAAAUAAAUGCUAGCAGCAAUCAUUCCUUGGCAGCAGCAGACUUUAUUAUGUUUUG